UACGUAGGUGGCAAGCGUUGUCCGGAUUUACUGGGCGUAAAGAGCGCGCAGGCGGCCAAGUCAGUCGAAUGUGAAAGCCCCCGGCUCAACUGGGGAGGGUCAUUCGAUACUGCUCGGCUCGAAGACAGGAGAGGGAAGUGGAAUUCCCGGUGUAGUGGUGAAAUGCGUAGAUAUCGGGAGGAACACCAGUGGCGAAGGCGACUACCUGGCCUGUUCUUGACGCUGAGGCGCGAAAGCUAGGGGAGCAAACGGG
Molecule: ribosomal RNA, 253 nt
Filed under: uncultured bacterium
Lineage: Bacteria
Description: partial 16S ribosomal RNA
Rfam family: Bacterial small subunit ribosomal RNA
Source: RNAcentral